RNAcentral lists this long non-coding RNA (593 nucleotides) under Brassica rapa (field mustard). RNAcentral's name for it is "long non-coding RNA (BRAP_LNC005409)". Lineage: Eukaryota; Viridiplantae; Streptophyta; Magnoliopsida; Brassicales; Brassicaceae. The record is from RNAcentral.
GCGUGCUCUGUUCGCACAUGUGGAUCUCAUGUAAAAGAGUAUAUACGGGGUGUCAGAUCGACACGUGUCAUUUUUCUUGUACCUAAUAAUCAAAAUUUUCAAAUAAUCGAUAUUAGUUCAAGGAAAUAAGUGAGGUCUGACGUUAAUUAGGUAUCUUUUUCUUUGGCUCAGGAAUUAGGUAUUUUAUUAGUCAGUUUUUUCCUGCAUUUAUUGGAACAGGUAAGAAAAGUAAUUUGUACUAAUUGUCUUUUGACAGUGCGUUUCUCCUUUUUUUGUUUAUGUGUAUUACUCUUUUUUUUUUUUGAGAAAACAUAUAUGUAUUACUUUAGUUAUAUACUUAACAGCUUUUAAAUAUAUACGUGAAAACUAUGGGAUAUUUGCAAAAUUGCCAAAAUAUCACACAUGUAUGAUAGAAAAACGUACACCUUCGAUCAUUUAGAAACAUUUUGUAAAAAUGUAGGAAUACUGCAUAAACCACAAGUUUAUUAAAUAUUUUUUUUACUUUGUAAAAUAAUUUUAGAAACAAAGCUUAAAAGUGAUAGCUUAAAUAAUUAUAAUAUUCUUGUUUUUAGUUAUUUAUAAACGAGUUUAUA